This 738-nucleotide ribosomal RNA is filed under the name Escherichia coli. Its description in RNAcentral is "partial 23S ribosomal RNA". It matches the Rfam family "Bacterial large subunit ribosomal RNA", at positions 2061 to 2798 of the family's 2925-position model. The record is from RNAcentral. Lineage: Bacteria; Pseudomonadati; Pseudomonadota; Gammaproteobacteria; Enterobacterales; Enterobacteriaceae.
GCAGUGUACCCGCGGCAAGACGGAAAGACCCCGUGAACCUUUACUAUAGCUUGACACUGAACAUUGAGCCUUGAUGUGUAGGAUAGGUGGGAGGCUUUGAAGUGUGGACGCCAGUCUGCAUGGAGCCGACCUUGAAAUACCACCCUUUAAUGUUUGAUGUUCUAACGUUGACCCGUAAUCCGGGUUGCGGACAGUGUCUGGUGGGUAGUUUGACUGGGGCGGUCUCCUCCUAAAGAGUAACGGAGGAGCACGAAGGUUGGCUAAUCCUGGUCGGACAUCAGGAGGUUAGUGCAAUGGCAUAAGCCAGCUUGACUGCGAGCGUGACGGCGCGAGCAGGUGCGAAAGCAGGUCAUAGUGAUCCGGUGGUUCUGAAUGGAAGGGCCAUCGCUCAACGGAUAAAAGGUACUCCGGGGAUAACAGGCUGAUACCGCCCAAGAGUUCAUAUCGACGGCGGUGUUUGGCACCUCGAUGUCGGCUCAUCACAUCCUGGGGCUGAAGUAGGUCCCAAGGGUAUGGCUGUUCGCCAUUUAAAGUGGUACGCGAGCUGGGUUUAGAACGUCGUGAGACAGUUCGGUCCCUAUCUGCCGUGGGCGCUGGAGAACUGAGGGGGGCUGCUCCUAGUACGAGAGGACCGGAGUGGACGCAUCACUGGUGUUCGGGUUGUCAUGCCAAUGGCACUGCCCGGUAGCUAAAUGCGGAAGAGAUAAGUGCUGAAAGCAUCUAAGCACGAAACUUGCC